Molecule: ribosomal RNA, 806 nt
Filed under: uncultured Streptococcus sp.
Lineage: Bacteria; Bacillati; Bacillota; Bacilli; Lactobacillales; Streptococcaceae
Description: bacterial SSU rRNA
Rfam family: Bacterial small subunit ribosomal RNA
Source: RNAcentral
GACGAACGCUGGCGGCGUGCCUAAUACAUGCAAGUAGAACGCACAGUUUAUACCGUAGCUUGCUACACCAUAGACUGUGAGUUGCGAACGGGUGAGUAACGCGUAGGUAACCUGCCUGGUAGCGGGGGAUAACUAUUGGAAACGAUAGCUAAUACCGCAUAAUAUUAAUUAUUGCAUGAUAAUUGAUUGAAAGGUGCAAAUGCAUCACUACCAGAUGGACCUGCGUUGUAUUAGCUAGUAGGUGAGGUAACGGCUCACCUAGGCGACGAUACAUAGCCGACCUGAGAGGGUGAUCGGCCACACUGGGACUGAGACACGGCCCAGACUCCUACGGGAGGCAGCAGUAGGGAAUCUUCGGCAAUGGACGAAAGUCUGACCGAGCAACGCCGCGUGAGUGAAGAAGGUUUUCGGAUCGUAAAGCUCUGUUGUAAGAGAAGAACGGGUGUGAGAGUGGAAAGUUCACACUGUGACGGUAUCUUACCAGAAAGGGACGGCUAACUACGUGCCAGCAGCCGCGGUAAUACGUAGGUCCCGAGCGUUGUCCGGAUUUAUUGGGCGUAAAGCGAGCGCAGGCGGUUAGAUAAGUCUGAAGUUAAAGGCUGUGGCUUAACCAUAGUACGCUUUGGAAACUGUUUAACUUGAGUGCAGAAGGGGAGAGUGGAAUUCCAUGUGUAGCGGUGAAAUGCGUAGAUAUAUGGAGGAACACCGGUGGCGAAAGCGGCUCUCUGGUCUGUAACUGACGCUGAGGCUCGAAAGCGUGGGGACCUAACAGGAUUAUAUUCCCUUGUUGUCCAAGGGCGAAUUUC